UUUGUUACUUCAAACCAAUCGGACUUCGGUCUGACAUCAAGUGAUAUUGAACAAUUUAGCUGAUCGCACGGUCUAAGAACCGGCGACAUAUCCUUCAAAUGUCUGCCUUAUCAACUUUCGAUGGUAGAUUAUGCGCCUACCAUGGUUGUAACGGGUAACGGAGAAUCAGGGUUUGAUUCCGGAGAGGGAGCCUGGGAAACGGCUACCACAUCCAAGGAAGGCAGCAGGCACGCAAAUUACCCACUCCCGGCACGGGGAGGUAGUGACGAAAAAUAACAAGCUGGUCUCAAUGAGUUCCAGCAUUGUAAUGGGAACAAUUUAAAUCUUUUAUCGAGGAUCUAUUGGAGGGCAAGUCUGGGGCCAGCAGCCGCGGUAAUUCCAGCUCCAAUAGCGUAUAUUAAAGUUGUUGCGGUUAAAAAGCUCGUAGUUGGAUCUAGGAUUAGGGCUACGGUCGCUCAGCUUGGACGUACUGUAUGCCCGACUCCUUUUCUCUAGUAUUCGAUUGUUGCUCUUAAAUGAGUGACUUUAGUUGCUGGAACUUUUACCUUGAAAAAAUUGAAGUGCUCAAAGCAGGUU
Molecule: ribosomal RNA, 576 nt
Filed under: uncultured eukaryote
Lineage: Eukaryota
Description: SSU rRNA
Rfam family: Eukaryotic small subunit ribosomal RNA
Source: RNAcentral